UGCAGUCGAGGGGUAACAGGAGAGCUUGCUCUUGCUGACGACCGGCGCACGGGUGCGUAACGCGUAUGCAACCUACCUGUAACUGAGGGAUAGCCCGUGGAAACAUGGAUUAAUACCUCAUAAUAUAUAGUUAUGGCAUCAUGAUUAUAUUAAAGAUUUAUUGGUUACAGAUGGGCAUGCGUUAGAUUAGCUAGUUGGUAGGGUAACGGCUUACCAAGGCUACGAUCUAUAGGGGUUCUGAGAGGAUGAUCCCCCACACUGGUACUGAGAUACGGACCAGACUCCUACGGGAGGCAGCAGUAGGGAAUAUUGGUCAAUGGAGGCAACUCUGAACCAGCCAUGCCGCGUGAAGGAAGACGGCGUUCUGCGUUGUAAACUUCUUUUAUCCAGGAAGAAAAAGUUUCUUGCGAGAGACCUUGACGGUACUGGAAGAAUAAGCACCGGCUAACUCCGUGCCAACAGCCGCGGUAAUACGGAGGGUGCAAGCGUUGUCCGGAUUUAUUGGGUUUAAAGGGUGCGUAGGCGGCUCUUUAAGUCAGAGGUGAAAGCCCGCAGCUUAACUGUGGAAAUGCCUUUGAUACUGGAGAGCUUGAGUAUAGUAAAGGUAGGCGGAAUUGAUAGUGUAGCGGUGAAAUGCAUAGAUAUUAUCAAGAACACCAAUAGCGUAGGCAGCUUACUAGACUAUAACUGACGCUGAUGCACGAAAGUGUGGGUAUCGAACAGGAUUAGAUACCCUGGUAGUCCACACUGUAAACGAUGUUCACUCGAUGUUGGCUAAAGAUUGUCAGUGUCCAAGCGAAAGCGUUAAGUGAACCACCUGGGGAGUACGCCGGCAACGGUGAAACUCAAAGGAAUUGACGGGGGUCCGCACAAGCGGUGG
This 880-nucleotide ribosomal RNA is filed under the name uncultured bacterium. Its description in RNAcentral is "bacterial SSU rRNA". It matches the Rfam family "Bacterial small subunit ribosomal RNA", at positions 56 to 935 of the family's 1533-position model. The record is from RNAcentral.